Long non-coding RNA from Lutra lutra (Eurasian river otter), 4453 nucleotides. RefSeq lists it as uncharacterized. The transcript has 2 exons. NCBI's taxonomy places the organism in Eukaryota, Metazoa, Chordata, Mammalia, Carnivora, Mustelidae. The record is from RefSeq and is a predicted model, not a curated record.
UGCCACCUGAAAAGGGGAAUGAGGAACUUGACCUUGGGGUGAGUAAGGAGAUGUGGAUAGUCUGAAAAGAGUGUUCUUUGGAGAGGAGAUCCAGAAAUUGGCAUUUGUGAGGUGGUAUCAAGUCUUGCAGGAUAAUUCUCAAACGUUGUUUCUUAAACUGGGUCGAUCAAGUCCAAUCAGGAAGAUCAUAAUUUUACAGAAACUAGGGCGUAUAAAGAAUGAUGUGUUUUUUGUUAGGACAAGUUCUUGUGUUUGCAUUCACAGCCCUCAGAUAAGAAGGGAUGAACUUAAACAAUUUCCCAGUAAAAUCAGCUUUUGAAGUUUUACUGAGUUUUCAUGGUCAUACUGGUGUGUGCUUGAUAUUUACACAUGCUUAAGUUCAUUUCUGCAUGAGUCUCAAAGUCUUGGCACUUUCUUGAGACAUGGCAGACUAUUCUAAAUCCAACUAGAUCAAAUAGCUCUGGCUAUAGUAGAUGUACUUUUGGACUUCUCUCAAACAGCCUUGGGUCAUAGUUCAAGGAGUAGUUGCUAUCUUUCUACCUCCUACCUCAAGUUAGCAAUAUUUAAGUCUCUGAGGAAGCAACCUUUUUUUGUUCUUUUUGUCCUUUAUUGCUUCCUGUGGCUUUAAAAAAAAAAAAAAACCUGAUUGGAAUAGAAAGAAUAUUAUAUACAGAAAGACAGAAUUAACACUAAAUUUCACAUUUUGAAAAUUCUUUUAAAACUUUGAAUAUUGGUCCUAAUUAUUAAUAUAUGUAUUAGCUUUUAUCACAUUGAAAAAAUAUACACUGCUGUUGCUACUCACUGCCCACACUUAAGCUGCUGACUUUUUGACUGAAAGUGAAUAUGUUUAGUGUCCUUAAAAGGCCACAUUGUUUUGGGAUGUCUGGGUCUCUCAGUCAGUUAAACAUCUGACUGUUGAUCUCAGCUCAGGUCUUCAUCUCAGGGUCAUGAGUUCAAGCUCCAUGUUGGCUCCACACCCACCUACUUUAAAAAAAAAAGCUGUAUUCUGUUAUUAAAACCCAUGGGCUUUUAGAAGAUAAUAUCCUUCAGAAAACUACAUCAGGUUUGUAAGGCUCUUAGGGCAACAGUAGUAUAUUCUAUCAAUUGUUUAAAGUUAGUUCUUCUUGUAUCUUUUAAGUAAGCACAUGCCAAAGGUUUUUUUGUUUUGUUUUGUUUUUAAUUUUUUUUAAUUAACAUAUAAUGUAUUAUUUGCCCCAGUGAUACAGGUCUGUGAAUUGUCAGGCUUACACACUUCACAGCACUCAUCAUUGCACAUACUCUUCCCAACGUCCGUUACCCAACCAUCCUCUCCAUACUCCCCUCUCCCCGACAGCCAAAGGUUUUUUUAAGGCAGACUUUAUUUUCAUCCCUGCAAUAUCCAAGUAAAAUAAGAAGUAAUUAAUGUCUUCUCAGUAGGUAAAUAAGUGUAGUUUAUUAUGUUUUCUUUAGUCAACUGAAUUAAAACAUCUUUUGGGUUUUUCUGUAAUCUCCUAAAUUUUGGGGCACUUUAAACACUAAUAAUUUUGACAUCAGAUAUGAUAGACCAGUCUGGAAUGUCUAUUUAAAAAGAUGUAUUAAAGUUGAAAACAAGUUUCUGAAAUGUAAGUUACUUUAAAAAUAUUUGGUAUAUUGAAGAUGAAUAAACAAAUGAUCCAGUAUUAAAAAUAGCUAUUUUAAAUGAGUGAAAGUGACCUAUGACUGGUAGAACUGAAGUCUUUUAUUGACUUGAAGGGAACAUUUGUCUUUGUCAGUUAUAGAAAGAUCAUAUGUAUAGAUAUAGAUCUAGAUAUAGGUGACAAAAUAAAAAUGAGAAUUUUAUGAAAUUUCUAUUUUAUAGUUAAAAAGCAAGCCUAUUACCACAGAUCUUGUACAACUAAUAUUAGAAUAUAUGCUUUCUGGUUAGUCUGUGGUUUCCUCUUUUACAUUUUCUAUUUCCUCCUUCACGUUUAAGUAUGGUGGAUUUACUUAUCUGUUUGUACACAAAGAGAUGGAUUUAAGGAUCAUGGAGCAUCCUAGGUCUAGAAGUUUACUUCAGUGUAGUGAUAAUAGUAGUAGAGGGAAAACAGAUUAUCAUGAGAGCUUGUAACAUUCAUGGUCCAAAAUCAGUUUCUUUGUCCAUUACAAGAUUUUCUACCCUCUCUAAGGAAAUGCAAAGUCAGUUGGCGAUCUGACUUAAUUUAGACACUUUAUAACUGAGAAAAGUUUCAACCAAGUUCCAAAAUCUUUGGAAGUGUAGGAUUUUAUACUCAUCAUACUCCUGGUAUUUUAUUUGCAUUCUUCCCUUAGAAAAACAUAAGCAUUUUAAAAAUCUCAUUUAGUUUCUACAGCAUUCUUAUGAGUAUGAAAUAUAUUUACCUCUAUUUAGUCAUUCAUCAGAUAUUUGUUGAGUGUCCUAAUAUUUGCCCAUAGUUAGAGUAAGCAGCAGUUAGCAAGAAAGAACUGUUUUUUGUUCUCAUGAAAUGUAUCAUCUAAACAAUAGUAUAAAUAACUAUUACCAUGUUAAAUGCUUUGGAUGAAAAGUGCAUGGUAUUAUAAGAGAAUAAGGAGAUAGCCUGGUCCGGGUAUCUUGGAGGGCCUCUUCAAGAAAUGAUUUAUUUAAUUUAAUUUUAUUUAUUUGAAAGAGAGAGCAUGAGUAGGGGGAUGGGUGGGGAGAGAGAGAAAGAAGGAGAAGCAGACUCCACUGAGCAGGGAACCUUACUUGGGACUUGAUCCCAGGACUCUGUCAUCAUAACCUGAGCCAAAACCAAGAGUUGGAUGCUUAACAGGCUGAGCCACCCAGGUGCCUGAAGAAAUGAUUUUUGAGUGAAUUCUGAAAGGUAUUUGGCUGUGUUGCUGACUUAAACAUUUAAAUUAUUUUGUGAGAACAAUAGGAGACAGGUAUUCCUAAUACUCUAAAAUUGUGAAACAGAUUAUUGGUUAGCAAGCUUUUCCUGAUUUUGAAUAUGAAUAUCCUUAGCUUUAAAACAGCUGUCUCCAGUGCAGCAAAUAGCUUGAUAGGACUACUGGAAGCCAUAAGCCAAGAUUUGUUUGGUGUGUAAUAAAAAACUGGGCAGACAUAGGGUGCCUGGGCUGCUCAGUCAGUUAAGCCGUGGACUCUUGGUUCUGCAUUGAGUGGGGAGUCUGUUUGAGACUCUGUCUCUCCCUCUCCUUCUGCCCUUCCCCUGCUUGUAUGCAUGUGUUCUGUUCCUCUCUAAAAUCUUAAACAACAACAACAACAACAAAAAACAGAAAACAAACUAAGCAGACAGGAUACGAAGAAAACGGAGCUCAUUCUAGGUUCAUUUGUUUAGCCCGUGGAGACCCUAGCCCGUGGAAGUUUUGUGUGUUGUUUCACACGUUAGCAUCCUUUUCCUUGAUAGGUUGAUGGUAAGGCAGUAAUCAUGGGUUUUUGUUUGUUGUGUUUUUUGUUUUGUUUUUUUUUUUUUUUGAGAGUUCCACUUGGCUUUUGUUUUUCUGGGUUUUGAUCACCUAAUAUGAGAGUUUAAUGGAGGAGUGAAGAUGAGGCUCUGCCAUCCUGAUUACCAGUACUGUUUUCUUGGGCCUAAGCUACUUCUUGAACCACCUUCUUCUUGAAGUUGAGUUUCUUAAUUCUAGAGUCUGAUCGUUUGUCUCAACUCUUCCUGCUAACUCCUAACACUGCUUUUUAAGGUACAUGUUAUAAAUGUUAGUCAGUAAUGAAAGAAAAACACUAUGUAUAAUUUCUAGUAUUUGAAAACAAGUAGUUCAAACUGAAAAAUAAGAAAAAUAAAAAAUACUGUAUCAUUUUAUGCUCACAUUAUAUUAUAUAUUAGUUAUAUAUGUAGAACAAAAGCAUGAAAAUAUAAAAAUAUAAGCCAAAUACCAUUUGAAAGUAUAAGAUACAUAUGUGUGUGUGUAUAGUCUUGAAUGCAGAUACUGCUGCUGAUAAAAUUACACACGUGUGUAGCACAGUGGAGUGUAGUGAAGAGCACACUGAUUUUGAAAAGGAGUUGAGUUUGAGCCCCACCCCUGCCAUUUAACAACUGUGUGAGCUUGGACAGAUCACUUGCCUCAUCUAACCCAGUGUAACUCUGAAGUAUGUGUGUGAUAGCUGCCCUGCAGACUGGUCCUGAAAGUUCAUUGAGAUCAUCUGAGGAGAGGCCAUAGCACAGUCCUCAAGCUUACAUCCUGUGCUGACCUGUGGCAGAUUCCAAAUACCCAGAGACCUGCUGCUUAGAGACCAAGGGAGAAAUUUAAAAUCACUUGUCUUUAUUCUUGCAUGACAGAGCCGUUUGUAUCAAAUUCAUCAUACCUUUCUGAACUGCAGUAUAUUCGUGCCUUCCAGAUUGCACAUAUGGUUAAAAACAACGUCCUUCAGUGUGUUCAUUUGUUUGACGUACUCUGUUACCUCUUCUGGCUCCAUGCUCUAGUGCAGCAUUUAAUACACCUCUGAUGAGAGAUUUUGUUCCUCAUCUUCAUCAAUGCCAAGUGUUUG